CCUACGGGAGGCAGCAGUGAGGAAUAUUGGUCAAUGGCCGGAAGGCUGAACCAGCCAAGCCGCGUGAAGGACGACGGUGCUAAGCAUUGUAAACUUCUUUUGUCAAGGGACAAAAUCAGGCUCGAGAGCCUGACCGAGGGUACUUGAAGAAAAAGCAUCGGCUAACUCCGUGCCCGCAGCCGCGGUAAUACGGAGGAUGCGAGCGUUAUCCGGAUUUAUUGGGUUUAAAGGGUGCGUAGGCGGACUGUUAAGUCAGCGGUAAAAGGCCGGGGCUCAACCCCGGCGAGCCGUUGAAACUGGGGGUGUUGAGAGGGCGAGAAGUAUGCGGAAGGCGCGGUGUAGCGGUGAAAUGCUUAGAUAUCGCGCAGAACUCCGAUUGCGAAGGCAGCAUACCGGCGGCCGACUGACGCUGAGGCACGAAAGCGUGGGGAUCGAACAGGAUUAGAUACCCGAGUAGUC
RNAcentral lists this ribosomal RNA (459 nucleotides) under uncultured bacterium. RNAcentral describes it as "partial 16S ribosomal RNA". It matches the Rfam family "Bacterial small subunit ribosomal RNA", at positions 338 to 795 of the family's 1533-position model. The record is from RNAcentral.